Siniperca chuatsi (mandarin fish) is the source of this 842-nucleotide long non-coding RNA. RefSeq lists it as uncharacterized. The record is from RefSeq and is a predicted model, not a curated record. The transcript is spliced from 2 exons. Lineage: Eukaryota; Metazoa; Chordata; Actinopteri; Centrarchiformes; Sinipercidae.
GAAAGGAUCACUUAUCAGUUUUGGUGAAGACGAGACAAACCCCAAAUAUAUUUGCUUCAGCCUCACACUGACACUGACAACAAAUCAGUUCAAGGAGGACCCUCUGCUGCUCAUUAAGAUCCCAGAAAAGAGAGAGAGAGAGAGAGACACAUGCAGUCACUGUCCGAGCGAACGACGUAAGGAGGAGCUUCAGGAGACUGAACACCAGGAAGGCAGCAGGACCAGACGGAAUAUCUGGACAUGUUCUCAGAGCCUGCGCUGACCAGCUGGCACCGGGGUUCACAGAGAUCUUCAACCCCUCCCUGGUCCAGUCUGUUAUUCCCACAUGCUUCAAACUGUCGACAGUGGUCCCUGUCCCGAAGAAACCUCAUCCCAGCUACCUAAAUGACUGUAGCUCUGACCUCCAUGGUGUUUGAAGUGCUUUGAGAGUCUCGUCAAGGAUUUCCUCACCUCCUCACUACCUCUGACCCUGGACCCGCUGCCUGAUCUCCCGUAAUGAAGAGAAGGCAUACCUAGAGGAAGUGAGAGAGUGGACAGCUUCAGAUACCUUAGUGUCUGCAUCACAGAGGGCCUAUCAUGGUCCUCUCACGCCGACACCUUGGUGAAUAAAGCCCAUCAGCGUCCCUACCACCUCAGACGUCUAAGGGACUCUAGGCUGCCCCUCAAGGUGCUAAAGACUUUCUAUACCUGCACCAUAGAGAGUGCCCUGUCAGGCAGCAUCACAGCCUGGUUUGGGAAUGGCAACAAGAGGGACUACCUGGCCCUGCAGAUGGUGGUGCGGCCAGCAGAAUGUUGUACUGUGUAUGAUUGUGUAUGUGACAAUAAAACUUGAUUUAAUUUGA